CCAGACUCCUACGGGAGGCAGCAGUGAGGAAUAUUGGUCAAUGGGCUUACGCCUGAACCAGCCAAGUCGCGUGAGGGAGGACGGCCCUACGGGUUGUAAACCUCUUUUGCCGGGGAGCAACGGGCGCCACGUGUGGCGUCACUGAGAGUACCCGGAGAAAAAGCAUCGGCUAACUCCGUGCCAGCAGCCGCGGUAAUACGGAGGAUGCGAGCGUUAUCCGGAUUUAUUGGGUUUAAAGGGUGCGUAGGCGGGCAUUUAAGCCGGCGGUCAAAUGUCGGGGCUCAACCCCGGCCUGCCGUCGGAACUGGGUGCCUUGAGUGGGCGAGAAGUAUGCGGAAUGCGUGGUGUAGCGGUGAAAUGCAUAGAUAUCACGCAGAACCCCGAUUGCGAAGGCAGCAUACCGGCGCCCUACUGACGCUGAGGCACGAAAGUGCGGGUAUCGAACAGGAUUAGAUACCCCGGUAAA
This 466-nucleotide ribosomal RNA is filed under the name uncultured bacterium. RNAcentral's name for it is "bacterial SSU rRNA". It matches the Rfam family "Bacterial small subunit ribosomal RNA", at positions 331 to 794 of the family's 1533-position model. The record is from RNAcentral.